Molecule: small nuclear RNA, 363 nt
Filed under: Neogale vison (American mink)
Lineage: Eukaryota; Metazoa; Chordata; Mammalia; Carnivora; Mustelidae
Description: Neovison vison (American mink) 7SK RNA (ENSNVIG00000015231.1)
Rfam family: 7SK RNA (bases 1-306)
About the family: 7SK was discovered as an abundant small nuclear RNA in the mid-70s but a possible function has only recently been suggested. Two independent studies have found that 7SK RNA binds the CDK9/cyclin T complex (known as elongation factor P-TEFb).
Source: RNAcentral
GGAUGUGAGGGACAUUUGGCUGCAACAUCUGUCACCCCAUUGAUCGCCAGGGUUGAUUCGGCUGAUCUGGCUGGCUAGGCGGGUGUCCCCUUCCUCCCUCCCCGCUCCAUGUGCAUCCCUCCCGAAGCUGCACGCUCGGUUGAAGAGGACAACCUUCCCCGAUAGAGGAGAGGACCGUUCUUCGGUCAAGGGUAUAUGAGUAGCUGCGCUCCCCUGCUUAGAACCUUCAAACAAGCUCUCAAAUGGAAAACUCAGUUCCUCCAUUAUACUAGUCAUAUUUUAAGUAUUCAAUAGCUAGAUAGAUAAUGACUGCUCUAUCAGACACAAAUAUAGCCCUUUUUCCAUCUUUGCAGAAAGGUUUAU